UAAGCGGAGGAAAAGAAACCAACAGGGAUUGCCCUAGUAACGGCGAGUGAAGCGGCAACAGCUCAAAUUUGAAAGCUGGCCUUCGGGUCCGCAUUGUAAUUUGUAGAGGAUGCUUUGGGUAAAACGCCAGUCUAAGUUCCUUGGAACAGGACGUCAUAGAGGGUGAGAAUCCCGUAUGUGACUGGAAAUGUUAACCUAUGUAAAGCUCCUUCGACGAGUCGAGUUGUUUGGGAAUGCAGCUCUAAAUGGGAGGUAAAUUUCUUCUAAAGCUAAAUAUUGGCGAGAGACCGAUAGCGCACAAGUAGAGUGAUCGAAAGAUGAAAAGCACUUUGGAAAGAGAGUUAAAAAGCACGUGAAAUUGUUGAAAGGGAAGCGCUUGCAAUCAGACUUGUUUAAACUGUUCGGCCGGUCUUCUGACCGGUUUACUCAGUUUGGACAGGCCAGCAUCAGUUUCGGCGGCCGGAUAAAGGCUCUGGGAAUGUGGCCUCCACUUCGGUGGAGGUGUUAUAGCCCAGUGUGUAAUACGGCCAGCCGGGACUGAGGUCCGCGCUCGGCUAGGA
This 560-nucleotide ribosomal RNA is filed under the name Aureobasidium pullulans. Its description in RNAcentral is "eukaryotic LSU rRNA". It matches the Rfam family "Eukaryotic large subunit ribosomal RNA", at positions 47 to 615 of the family's 3401-position model. The record is from RNAcentral. Lineage: Eukaryota; Fungi; Ascomycota; Dothideomycetes; Dothideales; Saccotheciaceae.